UACGAAGGGGGCUAGCGUUGCUCGGAUUGACUGGGCGUAGAGGGCGCGUAGGCGGUUCGUACAGUCAGACGUGAAAUUCCUGGGCUCAACCUGGGGGCUGCGUUUGAUACGUGCGGGCUUGAGUGCGGAAGAGGGUCGUGGAAUUCCCAGUGUAGAGGUGAAAUUCGUAGAUAUUGGGAAGAACACCGGUGGCGAAGGCGGCGACCUGGUCCGAUACUGACGCUGAGGCGCGAAAGCGUGGGGAGCAAACAGG
Molecule: ribosomal RNA, 253 nt
Filed under: uncultured bacterium
Lineage: Bacteria
Description: partial 16S ribosomal RNA
Rfam family: Bacterial small subunit ribosomal RNA
Source: RNAcentral